CAGCUAAAUGAACAAGCAUAAAAACUGCCGAUCGACACCAUGAAGGAGUGAAGGAGUUGCUAAAAUUACAACUUUAGUUUCUAAUCUUCAAGAUUGUGAAAUAAUCUGCUAGAGAUACGGGUUUGAGAAUAUUAGAUAAAAUGUACCACUUACCCAGUAGUAUAAAGCACCUCGAUUUUGGGACUGUUUUAGUCAAAGCUUGGUCGCAAUGCAUUUCGUUCUUAGAAGUAUAAUUUUUACGCUUUUGGUUGCGGCAGUAAUGGCCGCUUGUCGAGAGGAUGUUUGGAAUUGUGCGUGUAUAGCUCCUGAUCGAUGCAGUGGAGAACUUUGUGGCAAUUGUGGGCGCGAUGGAGGCAGGAAGAGGUGUUGUUAAUGCCAACUCCGCACAGAAAUAACUAUUAUAAGUAAAUAGUUUCCAAUAAAAGUAUGAAAUCGA
Long non-coding RNA from Photinus pyralis (common eastern firefly), 436 nucleotides. RefSeq lists it as uncharacterized. Lineage: Eukaryota; Metazoa; Arthropoda; Insecta; Coleoptera; Lampyridae. The record is from RefSeq and is a predicted model, not a curated record. The transcript has 2 exons.